Molecule: ribosomal RNA, 1466 nt
Filed under: uncultured organism
Description: SSU rRNA
Rfam family: Bacterial small subunit ribosomal RNA
Source: RNAcentral
UUGAACGCUGGCGGCAGGCCUAACACAUGCAAGUCGAGCGGUAGCACAGAGAGCUUGCUCUCGGGUGACGAGCGGCGGACGGGUGAGUAAUGUCUGGGAAACUGCCUGAUGGAGGGGGAUAACUACUGGAAACGGUAGCUAAUACCGCAUAAUGUCGCAAGACCAAAGUGGGGGACCUUCGGGCCUCAUGCCAUCAGAUGUGCCCAGAUGGGAUUAGCUAGUAGGUGGGGUAACGGCUCACCUAGGCGACGAUCCCUAGCUGGUCUGAGAGGAUGACCAGCCACACUGGAACUGAGACACGGUCCAGACUCCUACGGGAGGCAGCAGUGGGGAAUAUUGCACAAUGGGCGCAAGCCUGAUGCAGCCAUGCCGCGUGUGUGAAGAAGGCCUUCGGGUUGUAAAGCACUUUCAGCGGGGAGGAAGGCGGUGAGGUUAAUAACCACAUCGAUUGACGUUACCCGCAGAAGAAGCACCGGCUAACUCCGUGCCAGCAGCCGCGGUAAUACGGAGGGUGCAAGCGUUAAUCGGAAUUACUGGGCGUAAAGCGCACGCAGGCGGUCUGUCAAGUCGGAUGUGAAAUCCCCGGGCUCAACCUGGGAACUGCAUUCGAAACUGGCAGGCUAGAGUCUUGUAGAGGGGGGUAGAAUUCCAGGUGUAGCGGUGAAAUGCGUAGAGAUCUGGAGGAAUACCGGUGGCGAAGGCGGCCCCCUGGACAAAGACUGACGCUCAGGUGCGAAAGCGUGGGGAGCAAACAGGAUUAGAUACCCUGGUAGUCCACGCCGUAAACGAUGUCGAUUUGGAGGUUGUGCCCUUGAGGCGUGGCUUCCGGAGCUAACGCGUUAAAUCGACCGCCUGGGGAGUACGGCCGCAAGGUUAAAACUCAAAUGAAUUGACGGGGGCCCGCACAAGCGGUGGAGCAUGUGGUUUAAUUCGAUGCAACGCGAAGAACCUUACCUGGUCUUGACAUCCACAGAACUUUCCAGAGAUGGAUUGGUGCCUUCGGGAACUGUGAGACAGGUGCUGCAUGGCUGUCGUCAGCUCGUGUUGUGAAAUGUUGGGUUAAGUCCCGCAACGAGCGCAACCCUUAUCCUUUGUUGCCAGCGGUUAGGCCGGGAACUCAAAGGAGACUGCCAGUGAUAAACUGGAGGAAGGUGGGGAUGACGUCAAGUCAUCAUGGCCCUUACGACCAGGGCUACACACGUGCUACAAUGGCAUAUACAAAGAGAAGCGACCUCGCGAGAGCAAGCGGACCUCAUAAAGUAUGUCGUAGUCCGGAUUGGAGUCUGCAACUCGACUCCAUGAAGUCGGAAUCGCUAGUAAUCGUAGAUCAGAAUGCUACGGUGAAUACGUUCCCGGGCCUUGUACACACCGCCCGUCACACCAUGGGAGUGGGUUGCAAAAGAAGUAGGUAGCUUAACCUUCGGGAGGGCGCUUACCACUUUGUGAUUCAUGACUGGGGUGAAGUC